RNAcentral lists this ribosomal RNA (253 nucleotides) under uncultured bacterium. RNAcentral's name for it is "partial 16S ribosomal RNA". It matches the Rfam family "Bacterial small subunit ribosomal RNA", at positions 524 to 776 of the family's 1533-position model. The record is from RNAcentral.
GACGUAGGGCGCGAGCGUUGUCCGGAAUUAUUGGGCGUAAAGAGCUCGUAGGCGGUUUGUCGCGUCUGCUGUGAAAACCUAAGGCUCAACCUUGGGCUUGCAGUGGGUACGGGCAGACUAGAGUGUGGUAGGGGAGACUGGAAUUCCUGGUGUAGCGGUGAAAUGCGCAGAUAUCAGGAGGAACACCGAUGGCGAAGGCAGGUCUCUGGGCCACUACUGACGCUGAGAAGCGAAAGCAUGGGGAGCGAACAGG